UACGUAGGGUGCAAGCGUUGUCCGGAAUUAUUGGGCGUAAAGAGCUCGUAGGCGGUCUGUCGCGUCGGCUGUGAAAACCUGGGGCUUAACUCCGGGCUUGCAGCCGAUACGGGCAGACUAGAGUUCGGCAGGGGAGACUGGAAUUCCUGGUGUAGCGGUGAAAUGCGCAGAUAUCGGGAGGAACACCGGUGGCGAAGGCGGUUCUCCGGGCCUGUACUGACGCUGAGGAGCGAAAGCGUGGGGAGCGAACAGG
This 253-nucleotide ribosomal RNA is filed under the name uncultured bacterium. RNAcentral's name for it is "partial 16S ribosomal RNA". It matches the Rfam family "Bacterial small subunit ribosomal RNA", at positions 524 to 776 of the family's 1533-position model. The record is from RNAcentral.